CAGUCGAGCGGAACGAGUUAUCUGAACCUUCGGGGAACGAUAACGGCGUCGAGCGGCGGACGGGUGAGUAAUGCCUAGGAAAUUGCCCUGAUGUGGGGGAUAACCAUUGGAAACGAUGGCUAAUACCGCAUGAUGCCUACGGGCCAAAGAGGGGGACCUUCGGGCCUCUCGCGUCAGGAUAUGCCUAGGUGGGAUUAGCUAGUUGGUGAGGUAAGGGCUCACCAAGGCGACGAUCCCUAGCUGGUCUGAGAGGAUGAUCAGCCACACUGGAACUGAGACACGGUCCAGACUCCUACGGGAGGCAGCAGUGGGGAAUAUUGCACAAUGGGCGCAAGCCUGAUGCAGCCAUGCCGCGUGUGUGAAGAAGGCCUUCGGGUUGUAAAGCACUUUCAGUCGUGAGGAAGGUAGUGUAGUUAAUAGCUGCAUUAUUUGACGUUAGCGGCAGAAGAAGCACCGGCUAACUCCGUGCCAGC
RNAcentral lists this ribosomal RNA (473 nucleotides) under bacterium 1611-S5-10-2. RNAcentral describes it as "bacterial SSU rRNA". It matches the Rfam family "Bacterial small subunit ribosomal RNA", at positions 59 to 512 of the family's 1533-position model. The record is from RNAcentral.